GCUGGGCGUGGUGGCUCAUGCCUGUAAUCCCAGCGGCUUGGGAGGCUGAGAUAGGAGGAUUGUGAGUUCAAAGCCAGCCUCAGCCAAAGUGAGGUGCUAAGCAACUCAGUGUGAGACCCUGUUUCUA
RNAcentral lists this small RNA (127 nucleotides) under Marmota monax (woodchuck). The record is from RNAcentral. Lineage: Eukaryota; Metazoa; Chordata; Mammalia; Rodentia; Sciuridae.